This 120-nucleotide ribosomal RNA is filed under the name Pogona vitticeps (central bearded dragon). Lineage: Eukaryota; Metazoa; Chordata; Lepidosauria; Squamata; Agamidae. The record is from RNAcentral.
CUUAAAUGACAAUACCACCCUCAACACAUCCAGUCUUGGCUGAUUUUGGAAGCUAAGCAGGUUGAGACCUGAUUAGUAUUUGCAUGGAAGACCACUGAGAAGUAAUAGGGAUUUCCAAGU